Molecule: ribosomal RNA, 252 nt
Filed under: uncultured bacterium
Lineage: Bacteria
Description: partial 16S ribosomal RNA
Rfam family: Bacterial small subunit ribosomal RNA
Source: RNAcentral
UACGUAGGUGGCGAGCGUUAUCCGGAUUUAUUGGGUUUAAAGGGUGCGUAGGCGGGUUAUCAAGUCAGCGGUAAAAUCGUGGAGCUCAACUCCAUCCAGCCGUUGAAACUGAUGAUCUUGAGUGGGCGAGAAGUAUGCGGAAUGCGUGGUGUAGCGGUGAAAUGCAUAGAUAUCACGCAGAACUCCGAUUGCGAAGGCAGCAUACCGGCGCCCGACUGACGCUGAAGCACGAAAGCGUGGGUAUCGAACAGG